UUAAAGGGACCGAGCUACAUUUUCCAACAGGCUUCUCCGGGCACAAGAUCUUCUCCCCCAUGUGGACAAGAGACUCUCUGCUCAGCCAGAGUCACUCAGACCUCACCAGCUGACAGUGUUUGUGCCCCAUCAGCACCAGGUGUCAGGUGGUGGUUCAGUCCUGCUAUUCUGUUAAACCAAGGAGCGUCUGUGGUGGGAGCAGCAGUACAGAGCCUGCAAUGUCGGCGUGAAACCCUGUGACGCUCAAAAGGCC
Lepisosteus oculatus (spotted gar) is the source of this 253-nucleotide long non-coding RNA. RefSeq lists it as uncharacterized. Lineage: Eukaryota; Metazoa; Chordata; Actinopteri; Semionotiformes; Lepisosteidae. The record is from RefSeq and is a predicted model, not a curated record.